RNAcentral lists this ribosomal RNA (460 nucleotides) under uncultured bacterium. RNAcentral's name for it is "partial 16S ribosomal RNA". It matches the Rfam family "Bacterial small subunit ribosomal RNA", at positions 28 to 507 of the family's 1533-position model. The record is from RNAcentral.
GACGAACGCUGGCGGCGUGCUUAACACAUGCAAGUCGAGCGGUAAGGCCUCUUCGGGGGUACACGAGCGGCGAACGGGUGAGUAACACGUGGGUGACCUGCCCUCAGCUCUGGGAUAAGCCUGGGAAACUGGGUCUAAUACCGGAUAUGACCUUUCCUCGCAUGGGGUUUGGUGGAAAGUUUUUUCGGCUGGGGACGGGCCCGCGGCCUAUCAGCUUGUUGGUGGGGUGAUGGCCUACCAAGGCGACGACGGGUAGCCGGCCUGAGAGGGCGACCGGCCACACUGGGACUGAGACACGGCCCAGACUCCUACGGGAGGCAGCAGGGGGGAAUAUUGCGCAAUGGGCGGAAGACUGACGCAGCGACGCCGCGUGGGGGAGGACGGCCGUCGGGUUGUAAACCUCUUUCGACCCCGACGAAUUUGGACGGUAGGGGUAGAAGAAGCACCGGCCAACUACGUG